AACGAACGCUGGCGGCAGGCUUAACACAUGCAAGUCGAGCGCCCCGCAAGGGGAGCGGCAGACGGGUGAGUAACGCGUGGGAAUCUACCGUGCCCUACGGAAUAACGCAUGGAAACGUGUGCUAAUACCGUAUACGCCCUACGGGGGAAAGAUUUAUCGGGGUAUGAUGAGCCCGCGUUGGAUUAGCUAGUUGGUGGGGUAAAGGCCUACCAAGGCGACGAUCCAUAGCUGGUCUGAGAGGAUGAUCAGCCACAUUGGGACUGAGACACGGCCCACACUCCUACGGGAGGCAGCAGUGGGGAAUAUUGGACAAUGGGCGCAAGCCUGAUCCAGCCAUGCCGCGUGAGUGAUGAAGGUCUUAGGAUUGUAAAGCUCUUUCACCGGUGAAGAUAAUGACGGUAACCGGAGAAGAAGCCCCGGCUAACUUCGUGCCAGCAGCCGCCGUAA
Molecule: ribosomal RNA, 447 nt
Filed under: uncultured bacterium
Lineage: Bacteria
Description: partial 16S ribosomal RNA
Rfam family: Bacterial small subunit ribosomal RNA
Source: RNAcentral